GGGCCCGCACAAGCGGUGGAGCAUGUGGUUUAAUUCGAUGAUACGCGAGGAACCUUACCAGGGCUUAAAUGUACGUUGCAUUAGUUAGAGAUAGCUAUUUCUUCGGACUACGUACAAGGUGCUGCAUGGUUGUCGUCAGCUCGUGCCGUGAGGUGUCAGGUUAAGUCCUAUAACGAGCGCAACCCCUGUUGUUAGUUGCCAGCGAGUGAUGUCGGGAACUCUAACAAGACUGCCGGUGCAAACCGUGAGGAAGGUGGGGAUGACGUCAAAUCAUCACGGCCCUUACGUCCUGGGCUACACACGUGCUACAAUGGCCGGUACAGAGAGCAGCCACACCGUGAGGUGGAG
Molecule: ribosomal RNA, 348 nt
Filed under: uncultured bacterium
Lineage: Bacteria
Description: bacterial SSU rRNA
Rfam family: Bacterial small subunit ribosomal RNA
Source: RNAcentral